UGCAAGUCGUACGGGGCUCUUCGGAGUUCAGUGGCGAACGGGUGCGUAACACGUGAGUGACCUGCCCUUGUGCGGGGGAUAACCCGGGGAAACCCGGGCUAAUACCGCAUGUUCUCUUUGGGCUUCCGGGCCUGGGGAGGAAAAGUGCUGUAAGGCACUGCGCAGGGAGGGGCUCGCGGCGUAUCAGGUAGUUGGUAGGGUAACGGCCUACCAAGCCGAUGACGCGUAGGGGGUCUGAGAGGAUGGCCCCCCACAUUGGGACUGAGAUACGGCCCAGACUCCUACGGGAGGCAGCAGUGGGGAAUCUUGCGCAAUGGCCGAAAGGCUGACGCAGCGACGCCGCGUGCGGGAGGACGCUUUUCGGAGUGUAAACCGCUGUCGGAUGGGACGAAGGUCCGGGGGAGGAAAUGCUCACGGGAUGACGGUACCACCAGAGGAAGCACCGGCUAACUUCGUGCCAGCAGCCGCGGUAAUACGAAGGGUGCAAGCGUUGUUCGGGAUUAUUGGGCGUAAAGCGCACGUAGGCGGUUGGGUAAGUCUGUCUGUGAAAGCCCGGGGCUCAACCCCGGGACUGCAGGGGAUACUGCUCGACUGGAGACAAGCAGAGGUUGGUAGAAUUCCGGGUGUAGCGGUGGAAUGCGUAGAGAUCCGGAGGAAUACCAGAGGCGAAGGCGGCCAACUGGGCUUGUUCUGACGCUGAGGUGCGAAAGCGUGGGGAGCGAACAGGAUUAGAUACCCUGGUAGUCCACGCCGUAAACGAUGGGCACUAGAUGCCGGUGGGAACGACCCCUUCGGUGUCGCAGCUAACGCACUAAGUGCCCCGCCUGGGGAGUACGGCCGCAAGGCUGAAACUCAAAGGAAUUGACGGGGGCCCGCACAAGCGGUGGAGCAUGUGGUUUAAUUCGAAGCAACGCGAAGAACCUUACCUGGACU
This 933-nucleotide ribosomal RNA is filed under the name uncultured bacterium. RNAcentral's name for it is "bacterial SSU rRNA". It matches the Rfam family "Bacterial small subunit ribosomal RNA", at positions 56 to 981 of the family's 1533-position model. The record is from RNAcentral.